This 24-nucleotide non-coding RNA is filed under the name Gossypium hirsutum (cotton). Lineage: Eukaryota; Viridiplantae; Streptophyta; Magnoliopsida; Malvales; Malvaceae. The record is from RNAcentral.
AGACCGAUAAUCCUGAUGUGGUCC